AGUGCCCCAAACCACAAGGACAGGCGGGAGGAGACUCUGGGAGUCUGUGAAGGGAAGGGGAUGGGCCUGGGUUCUGGUCCUAACUCCCCUGCCGGCCAGUGGGCAGCUGCAGCUCACAGGCCUGUUUGCCCAUCUAUGCUCCUCCCACCUCGCAUCACGGACUAAGGGUAGGAGAGGGCCUGGAGCCCAAGAAGUCCUGGCCAAUGCUACUGUUACACUGGAGUGUGCCUGCUGUCAACUGGGGGCUCUGUGCAGCCAUGUGGCCUUGGGGAGCAGGUUACUGGACCCCUCUGAAUCACAAGAAUAACAAGCCGAGGCAGAAGGGCCAGGAAGAGGGAGCUGGUCACACCGCCUGGAGUGUCUGGCCCCACUCCAGGGGCACAGGUGGAAUGUGCCAGAAAGGGCGAAGAGAGCAGGUCCCUGGACCUGCCCUGUGGCUGCAGGUAUAUUAAUAGUGCCUGGGUCCCAGGCGGGCAGUGCCCACAUGCCUUUGGAGCCCAUGUAGUCUGCAGGAAGGCAGCAGUGUGCCUACUGGGAGAGCAGGCCUCCGAGUUCCUGCUGAACCACUCAACAGCUUAAAAUACAACCAGCCCCUCUCCCUGCCGGCCAGCUGCCGGGGGAGGGCUGAAAUCCUACCCUCUCCCCCCAGCCCGGGCACUGGACCAGGACUCAGGAACAGAGGAUGGGCCGUCGGGGGCCCAGACUGACUGCUGGGAAAGGAAGCUGGGAGGCAGGAGGGGGCGGCCGAGACAGGGGCCACACUCCCAGCAGCCGCCACCGCAGCUGCUGCCGCUGCCGCACCCAGGCCAGCACCUAGGCCAGCCACACAGCCAGGCCAGCCCACGGCGGAGAGGAGCAGCAGCACCCUCACAAGAGAAAUAUCGAAGUCACACUGCUCAUGCCAGGGCAUCUGAGAAGACCCUGGGUUCAGCUGCCAAGAAGCCAGCACAGGCCACACCUGCUCCGCCAGAAAUACCUCCUUCCCCAGUGGCCUCAGCUCAUGACCCCGCUUCUCCGAGGUGCCUGGGGCAACUGCAUCAGCCUCCGUGAGAACUGAACAUGGAGUUCCUAUGCUGGCUCAGUGGUUAAGGAACCCGACUUGUACCCAUGAGGAUGCAGGUUCGAUCCCUGGCCUCACUUAAUGGGUUAAGGAUCCAGCAUUGCGAUGGCUGUGGUGUAGCCGGCAGCUAUAUCUCCACUUCGACCCUAGUCUGGGAACCUCCAUAUGCCGCAGGAGCAGCCCUAAGAAGACAAAAAAAAAGAAAAAGAAAAGAAAAGGAACUGAACGCUCUUUCUCUGGGGCUGUCUCUAUAGCCCCAGAUCCCCAGAGGACGGUCCAGAUCUACACCUCUGCAUCCCCUGGCAGGGUCAAGGAUGGUGACCACAUCUGGUCUCUCUGUAUCUCUGGGCUGGAGGCGCUGUCAGGUCAGGAAGCUGGAAGAGGCGGAGAAGCUGAGCCCUGCGGACACAGGCUGACUGCAGACUGACCAGGGCAGCAGAAGGCCAACCCCGCACCUGGGCCCAGCACGUCCAGCCCAGGUGCAGCAAGCAGAUUCUGUCCCUUGAACCUUCAUCAACUGUCAAAACUUCCCAAGACCCAGAGACCUGGCAUCAGGGAUAUGGUGAGAAGUUCCCAAAGGUAGAGCACUGAUUCACAGGGGAGGAGGGCGGGGAGAAGGUGAAUCAAUGCCUGGCACUUAGUCAUCCAGGUUAGGCUUGAGAAACUUCGGAGGCUGCAGCCUUUGGGGACUUCGUCUCCAAGUAAAGGAAGCUAAGAUUGUGGUCUUCA
Molecule: long non-coding RNA, 1789 nt
Organism: Sus scrofa (pig)
Lineage: Eukaryota; Metazoa; Chordata; Mammalia; Artiodactyla; Suidae
Source: RefSeq, a predicted model, not a curated record